Molecule: ribosomal RNA, 1000 nt
Filed under: Microbacterium sp. HBUM178298
Lineage: Bacteria; Bacillati; Actinomycetota; Actinomycetes; Micrococcales; Microbacteriaceae
Description: bacterial SSU rRNA
Rfam family: Bacterial small subunit ribosomal RNA
Source: RNAcentral
AUUUGCGGGCGUGCUUUACACAUGCAAGUCGAACGGUGAAGCCAAGCUUGCUUGGUGGAUCAGUGGCGAACGGGUGAGUAACACGUGAGCAACCUGCCCUGGACUCUGGGAUAAGCGCUGGAAACGGCGUCUAAUACUGGAUAUGAGACGUGAUCGCAUGGUCGUGUUUGGAAAGAUUUUUCGGUCUGGGAUGGGCUCGCGGCCUAUCAGCUUGUUGGUGAGGUAAUGGCUCACCAAGGCGUCGACGGGUAGCCGGCCUGAGAGGGUGACCGGCCACACUGGGACUGAGACACGGCCCAGACUCCUACGGGAGGCAGCAGUGGGGAAUAUUGCACAAUGGGCGAAAGCCUGAUGCAGCAACGCCGCGUGAGGGAUGACGGCCUUCGGGUUGUAAACCUCUUUUAGCAGGGAAGAAGCGAAAGUGACGGUACCUGCAGAAAAAGCGCCGGCUAACUACGUGCCAGCAGCCGCGGUAAUACGUAGGGCGCAAGCGUUAUCCGGAAUUAUUGGGCGUAAAGAGCUCGUAGGCGGUUUGUCGCGUCUGCUGUGAAAUCCCGAGGCUCAACCUCGGGCCUGCAGUGGGUACGGGCAGACUAGAGUGCGGUAGGGGAGAUUGGAAUUCCUGGUGUAGCGGUGGAAUGCGCAGAUAUCAGGAGGAACACCGAUGGCGAAGGCAGAUCUCUGGGCCGUAACUGACGCUGAGGAGCGAAAGGGUGGGGAGCAAACAGGCUUAGAUACCCUGGUAGUCCACCCCGUAAACGUUGGGAACUAGUUGUGGGGACCAUUCCACGGUUUCCGUGACGCAGCUAACGCAUUAAGUUCCCCGCCUGGGGAGUACGGCCGCAAGGCUAAAACUCAAAGGAAUUGACGGGGACCCGCACAAGCGGCGGAGCAUGCGGAUUAAUUCGAUGCAACGCGAAGAACCUUACCAAGGCUUGACAUAUACGAGAACGGGCCAGAAAUGGUCAACUCUUUGGACACUCGUAAACAGUGGUGCAUG